UUUCCGUAGGUGAACCUGCGGAAGGAUCAUUAAAAAAUUGGACUCCAUUGGUGAGUUCAUUAAUAAUCCCUACCCUUUGUGAAUUUGUUUGUUUGAAUAAUUUUUUUUUCCAAAAAAAAUUAUUGAAUGUCUUUCCUUGUUUUGGUGGAGCUUGUAAAGUGAAACCAGGCAGGGGAAUGGCAAACAAUAAUUAUUUUUGAAAAAGACCUUUUUUUAAAAUUAAGCUUUUUGUAUUCAUUUGUCUAAAAUUAAUUUUUAUAAUAUAAAAACAACUUUUGACAAUGGAUCUCUUGGUUCUCGCAACGAUGAAGAACGCAGCAAAAUGCGAUAAGUAGUGUGAAUUGCAGAAUACGUGAAUCAUCGAAUCUUCGAACGCAUAUUGCACUUUUUUAGUUUACUAAAAAAGUAUGCCUGUUUGAGUAUCAGUAAAAUAUUCUCAUAAAAACAUUGUUUUUUUUAUGGUUAUGAGUGUUUUACAACGAUAACAAGUUGUUUCACUUUAAAUUCUUUGUUAUCAAAAAAAUCAUUAAAAGCUAAUUUUAAAGAUUUUUUAAAAUUGGAUAAAAUUUUCCCGUAAAAAGGAAUAACCUAAACAAUUUUAAAAAAUUAAAAUUGGUUUGAUUUUUUUUGAAACCCAAAGGAAAAAAAAACGAAAUUAACUUGAUCUCAAAUCAGAUAAGAGUACCCGCUGAACUUAAGCAUAUCAAUAAGCGGAGGAAAAGAAACUAACUAGGAUUCCCUCAGUAACGGCGAGUGAAGCGGGAAGAGCUCAAAUUUGAAAUCUUCAAGGUUUUACCUUGACGAAUUGUAGUUUAAAGAAGUGUUUUCUGUUGGAGUUUUGGUAAAAGUUCUUUGGAAAAGGACAUCAUAGAGGGUGAGAAUCCCGUAUUUGACCAUUAUCUCCAGCUUUGUGAUACACUUUCAAAGAGUCGGAUUGUUUGGGAAUGCAGUCCAAAAUGGGUGGUAAAUUUCAUCUAAAGCUAAAUACUGGCGAGAGACCGAUAGCGAACAAGUACCGUGAGGGAAAGAUGAAAAGAACUUUGAAAAGAGAGUUAAACAGUACGUGAAAUUGUCAAAAGGGAAGCGUUUGACACCAGUGUUGUUUUCUCGAAAAUCAAUUAAAAAAGGCCGGAUUUUGUGUUGUAUUGACUUUAUCAGCUUUCUGCACUCUUUUCUUGUCUUUUUUAAUGCACUUUUCGUUUAACAAGUCAACAUCAAUUUCUUUUGUUGUAAGAGGGUCAUUGGAAGGUGGCUUUCUUUUCGGAGAGAGUGUUUAUAGCCUUUGGCCUCUGCAAUCGGAGAGAUUGAGGUCUGCAGCGUAGAUCCUUCGGGGUUAGAUACAUUUGUGCUAAGUUAUAGCCUUUCAUAGACAACUUGUUGACUAUGAUCAGUCAUGUAGCUUACUCGCUUAUGCUAUUUUACCUACGCUUAGGAUGUUGAG
Molecule: unclassified non-coding RNA, 1441 nt
Filed under: uncultured Neocallimastigales
Lineage: Eukaryota; Fungi; Neocallimastigomycota; Neocallimastigomycetes; Neocallimastigales
Description: partial contains small subunit ribosomal RNA, internal transcribed spacer 1, 5.8S ribosomal RNA, internal transcribed spacer 2, and large subunit ribosomal RNA
Rfam family: Eukaryotic large subunit ribosomal RNA (bases 662-1441)
Source: RNAcentral